This 495-nucleotide ribosomal RNA is filed under the name uncultured bacterium. RNAcentral describes it as "partial 16S ribosomal RNA". It matches the Rfam family "Bacterial small subunit ribosomal RNA", at positions 28 to 523 of the family's 1533-position model. The record is from RNAcentral.
GAUGAACGCUGGCGGCGUGCUUAACACAUGCAAGUCGAACGAAGCACUUUGAUCGAUUUCUUCGGAAUGAAGUUUUAGUGACUGAGUGGCGGACGGGUGAGUAACGCGUGGGUAACCUGCCUCACACAGGGGGAUAACAGUUGGAAACGGCUGCUAAUACCGCAUAAGCGCACAGUACCGCAUGGUACGGUGUGAAAAACUCCGGUGGUGUGAGAUGGACCCGCGUCUGAUUAGCUAGUUGGCAGGGCAGCGGCCUACCAAGGCGACGAUCAGUAGCCGACCUGAGAGGGUGACCGGCCACAUUGGGACUGAGACACGGCCCAAACUCCUACGGGAGGCAGCAGUGGGGAAUAUUGCACAAUGGACGAAAGUUUGAUGGAGCAACGCCGCGUGCAGGAUGACAGCCUUCGGGUCGUAAACUGCUUUUAUGAGUGAAGAUUAUGACAGUAACUCAAGAAUAAGGGACGGCUAACUACGUGCCAGCCGCCGCCGUAA